Molecule: ribosomal RNA, 466 nt
Filed under: uncultured bacterium
Lineage: Bacteria
Description: partial 16S ribosomal RNA
Rfam family: Bacterial small subunit ribosomal RNA
Source: RNAcentral
GACGAACGCUGGCGGCGCGCCUAACACAUGCAAGUCGAACGAGCGCGAGAGAGCUUGCUUUCUUGGGCGAGUGGCGAACGGGUGAGUAACGCGUGAGGAACCUGCCUCAACGAGGGGGACAAAAGUUGGAAACGACUGCUAAUACCCCAUAAACCCACGGUGCCGCAUGGCACAGAGGGAGAACGAGCAAUCCGCUUUGAGAUGGCCUCGCGUCCGAUUGGCUAGGUGGUGAGGUAACGGCCCACCAAGGCGACGGACGGUAGCCGGACUGAGAGGUUGAACGGCCACAUUGGGACUGAGACACGGCCCGGACUCCUACGCGAGGCAGCAGUGGGGGAUAUUGCACAAUGGGGGAAACCCUGAUGCACCGACGCCGCGUGGAGGAAGAAGGUCUUGGGAUUGAAAUCUCCAGUUGUUGGGGAAGAUAAUGACGGUACCUAACAAGGAAGUGACGGCUAACUACGUG